AGCAGUAGCCACGGUAAUACAGAGGGUGCGAGCGUUAAUCGGAUUUACUGGGCGUAAAGCGUGCGUAGGCGGCUUUUUAAGUCGGAUGUGAAAUCCCUGAGCUUAACUUAGGAAUUGCAUUCGAUACUGGGAAGCUAGAGUAUGGGAGAGGAUGGUAGAAUUCCAGGUGUAGCGGUGAAAUGCGUAGAGAUCUGGAGGAAUACCGAUGGCGAAGGCAGCCAUCUGGCCUAAUACUGACGCUGAGGUACGAAAGCAUGGGGAGCAAACAGGAUUAGAUACCCCCGUAGUCCCUGUCUCUUAUAA
Molecule: ribosomal RNA, 303 nt
Filed under: uncultured bacterium
Lineage: Bacteria
Description: partial 16S ribosomal RNA
Rfam family: Bacterial small subunit ribosomal RNA
Source: RNAcentral